CAGGUACUUCGGUAUGCUGACGAGUGGCGGACGGGUGAGUAACGCGUAGGAAUCUACCUAUCUGUGGGGGAUACCAGUUGGAAACGACUGUUAAUACCGCAUAAUAUCUGAGGAUUAAAGGUGGCAACUUGUUGCUGCCGCGGAUGGAUGAGCCUGCGUUAGAUUAGCUUGUUGGUGGGGUAAAGGCCUACCAAGGCUGCGAUCUAUAGCUGAUUUGAGAGGAUGAUCAGCCACAUUGGAACUGAGACACGGUCCAAACUCC
Molecule: ribosomal RNA, 262 nt
Filed under: uncultured bacterium
Lineage: Bacteria
Description: partial 16S ribosomal RNA
Rfam family: Bacterial small subunit ribosomal RNA
Source: RNAcentral